CAGUCGCCGCGGGAAUACAGAGGGUGCGAGCGUUAAUCGGAUUUACUGGGCGUAAAGCGUGCGUAGGCGGCUUUUUAAGUCGGAUGUGAAAUCCCUGAGCUUAACUUAGGAAUUGCAUUCGAUACUGGGAAGCUAGAGUAUGGGAGAGGAUGGUAGAAUUCCGGGUGUAGCGGUGAAAUGCGUAGAGAUCUGGAGGAAUACCGAUGGCGAAGGCAGCCAUCUGGCCUAAUACUGACGCUGAGGUACGAAAGCAUGGGGAGCAAACAGGAUUAGAUACCCCCGUAGUCCCUGUCUCUUAUAC
RNAcentral lists this ribosomal RNA (301 nucleotides) under uncultured bacterium. Its description in RNAcentral is "partial 16S ribosomal RNA". It matches the Rfam family "Bacterial small subunit ribosomal RNA", at positions 509 to 807 of the family's 1533-position model. The record is from RNAcentral.